UACACCUGAACCACACAGGCCCGUAAGGAGAACCAACCGUUUAGAACCGGUUAUCUCCGAACCGUUCUCAGGCCUACUCCUGGCCGGAACCCUCCCACCUCGAUCCAUUCUGCGGACCGCCGCCAGCUCUCCUUGCGUGCUGACGAGGCUCAUCCACCUCUGUUCUCGCGCGCGGCCGCUACUCUUUUGCUGUGCCCCCUAUCUCGCCCUCCACGCUCUCCUUGCGGCCUGCCUCCCCACGGACCUCGCCAGCCCUGUUUCCGUUCUGAAUCGGGGCCGGCGAGCACUCCGCCGUUGGCGCAAGAGGGGUCGCCGCCGCCCGCCUCAAUUCGCCGACGCCCUGCAGUGGAGAAGGAUCUCCACGACCUCCUGCGGCCUAGACCACAACUACGGGUGGAGCUCUGACGGGACAUCCGACGAUGUUGUUGCUGGCGGUGCCGCCGCCUCCAUGUCGCCCCCUCCUCGGCUCCCUGGUCUGCCUGCUCGACCAGAAUCCGGCCAGAAUCAGGCCCGGGCAAGAGGCAGUUCAUGGCGACACACGGCCGCGGGCCGGACUCAGGCCCGGGCAAGCGACAGUUCAUGGCGACACACGGCCGCGGGCCGGAAUCAGGCCCGGGCGAGCAGCGGUUCAUUGUGACGCGCGGUCGCGCAAGCAGGCGCAGGGCGGCGUGCGGGCGCACACGGCGGAGCUCGGCGAUACGUCUGCGAUGGGAUGUAGAGCCAUGGGAUGGAGGUCAUGAGGAAGAAGUAGAUCGGAAAAAAAACAUUGGAUCAUUGACAGAAGGGACCCAUAUUUCAGUGGAGUGGAGGAAAAAAAAAACUCGUCCACCUCUGUGUCACACACAGUAGGUGUUCGUUCUAUUGCCUGCAUGAUCCCACCAGAAGGUGUUUGGCUAGGUUGGAGAGCAGGUGUCAGUGUCAAAUAGGAGGUAUUGUUUUCGUAAUUUGUGCUCAUAUUAGAUGAGGAUUGCUAUAAGCAAAUUUCGAUUUCAUUUUUAUUCAUGUAACCUCCUUUACCCAUUGUACGUGUAUUCCGUUGCAAGCAGCAUAUUAUUAUUAUUAUUAUUAUUA
This is a long non-coding RNA of Brachypodium distachyon (stiff brome), 1071 nucleotides long. RefSeq lists it as uncharacterized. The transcript has 2 exons. Lineage: Eukaryota; Viridiplantae; Streptophyta; Magnoliopsida; Poales; Poaceae. The record is from RefSeq and is a predicted model, not a curated record.